AGUGCGAUCGGUGGAUGCCUUGGCACCAAGAGCCGAUGAAGGACGUUGUAACCUGCGAUAAGCCCUGGGGAGUUGGUAAACGAGCUGUGAUCCGGGGGUGUCCGAAUGGGGAAACCUGGAAUGUCCGGAGUAGUGUCCGGUGACCCUGCCCUGAAUGUAUAGGGGUGUGGGAGGUAACGCGGGGAAGUGAAACAUCUUAGUACCCGUAGGAAGAGAAAACAACCGUGAUUCCGUGAGUAGUGGCGAGCGAAAGUGGAUGAGGCUAAACCGUGUGUGUGUUCAAGCCGGCAGGUGUUGCAUGUGCGGGGUUGUGGGGGCCUUUGGGUUCUGCUGCCGCAGGAUUGGCCAGUGAUAAAUGUUGCGUGAAGGUGAAGCGUCUGGGAAGGCGUACCGGAGUGGGUGAGAGUCCCGUAACUGUAAGCGUGGCACUGGUGAGGGUUACCCCAAGUAGCGUGGAACUCGUGGAAUUUCGCGUGAAUCUGGCGGGACCACCCGUCAAGCCUAAAUACUCCUUGGUGACCGAUAGUGGAUCAGUACCGUGAGGGAAUGGUGAAAAGUACCCCGGGAGGGGAGUGAAAUAGUACCUGAAACCGGUCGCAUACAAGCCGUCAGAGCCUUGUGGGGUGAUGGCGUGCCUUUUGAAGAAUGAGCCUGCGAGUUAGUGAUGCGUGGCGAGGUUAACCUGUGUGGGGGAGUCGUAGCGAAAGCGAGUCCGAUAAGGGCGUGAGUCGCGUGUUCUAGACCCGAAGCGGUGUGAUCUAUCCAUGGCCAGGAUGAAGCGUCGGUAAGACGUCGUGGAGGUCCGAACCCACUUCAGUUGAAAAUGGAGGGGAUGAGCUGUGGAUAGGGGUGAAAGGCCAAUCAAACACCGUGAUAGCUGGUUCUCCCCGAAAUGCAUUUAGGUGCAGCGUUGCGUGGUUCUUGUCGGAGGUAGAGCACUGGAUGGUCUAGGGGGCCUAUCAGCUUACCGAAAUCAGCCAAACUCCGAAUGCCGGCAAGUGGAGCGUAGCAGUGAGACGGCGGGGGAUAAGCUUCGUCGUCGAGAGGGAAACAGCCCAGAUCAUCAGCUAAGGCCCCUAAGUGGUAACUCAGUGGAAAAGGAUGUGGAGUUGCGCAGACAGCCAGGAGGUUGGCUUGGAAGCAGCCAUCCUUGAAAGAGUGCGUAAUAGCUCACUGGUCAAGUGAUUCCGCGCCGACAAUGUAGCGGGGCUUAAGUUAUCCGCCGAAGCUGUGGCAAGCCCGUGAGGGUUUGGGUAGGGGAGCGUCCUGUGCGAGGUGAAGCUGCCGGGUGACCGUGUGGUGGAUUGUGCGGGAGUGAGAAUGCAGGCAUGAGUAGCGAAUGACGGGUGGAAAACCCGUCCGCCGAUUAUCCAAGGGUUCCAGGGUCAAGUUAAUCUGCCCUGGGUGAGUCGGGACCUAAGGCGAGGCCGACAGGCGUAGUCGAUGGAUAACCAGUUGAUAUUCUGGUACCGGCUUGUCACCGUCCGUGUCGAGGUGUGUGAUGCUAAGCGUGCGAGCCUGCCUCCGCGACAUCGUUGAUGUGGUGGUGGUGUGGUGAGUGUGUGAACCGAUCAUGUAGUAGGCAAGCUGCGGAGGGACGCAGGGAGGUAGCUCAUCCCCGGCGAUGGUUGUCCGGGGCUAAAUGUGUGGACCGUCUGGUAGGUAAAUCCGCCAGGGUUGUGGUUGAGGCAUGAUGGCGAGCCCACAGGAAGUGGGUGAGUGAGUGAUCCUGUACUGUCGAGAAAAUCUUCGUGAGCGAGGUGGCUGGUCCGCCCGUACCCUAAACCGACACUGGUGGAUAGGUAGAGUAUACCGAGGCGAUCGAGAUCAUCAUGGUGAAGGAACUCGGCAAAAUGCCCCCGUAACUUCGGGAUAAGGGGGACCUGAACCGUCAAGGCUUUUACAGUUGGUAGCGGUGAGGGGCGCAGAGACCAGGGGGAAACGACUGUUUACCAAAAACACAGGUCCGUGCGAAGUCGUAAGACGAUGUAUACGGACUGACUCCUGCCCGGUGCUGGAAGGUUAAGGGGAACUGUUAGCGUUGGCGAAGCGGUGAACUUAAGCCCCAGUAAACGGCGGUGGUAACUAUAACCAUCCUAAGGUAGCGAAAUUCCUUGUCGGGUAAGUUCCGACCUGCACGAAUGGAGUAACGAUUUCCCUACUGUCUCCACCAUGAACUCGGUGAAAUUGCAUUACGAGUAAAGAUGCUCGUUACGCGCAGCAGGACGGAAAGACCCCGGGACCUUUACUAUAGUUUGGUAUUGGUGAUUGGGACGACUUGUGUAGGAUAGGUGGGAGACUGUGAAACGGCCACGCCAGUGGUUGUGGAGUCAUUGUUGAAAUACCACUCUGGUCGUUCUGGUUAUCUAACUUUGGGCCGUGAUCCGGUUCAGGGACAGUGCCUGAUGGGUAGUUUGACUGGGGCGGUCGCCUCCUAAAAGGUAACGGAGGCGCCCAAAGGUUCCC
Molecule: ribosomal RNA, 2466 nt
Filed under: human gut metagenome
Description: bacterial LSU rRNA
Rfam family: Bacterial large subunit ribosomal RNA
Source: RNAcentral